GGUUUCCAUGGUAUUCCGGGGUGACCCUGAAAGGGGGAAGUUUGAUACUCAGGAGUGUGAGGACGACAGGAAGACAGAUUUGAGCCCCGAGCUGUAACGUAACUUUCAGAAGAGCGAGGCAAUCUAAGGCUCACAAUCAGCUCCAUCAAAGCAAUUUAGUGGGGAUGUUCCUAUCUCUCAGCCAUGGGCAGUUCCACAGGGAGAUAAAAUUUGAUGGGAGUAGCAAAGACUCUUACGUCCUUGGCAGAGCAUUCCACAAACCAGGUGUGGUGGCGCAUGCCUACUGUCUCAGCCCUCAGGACACAGAGGCAGGAGAUUCAGAGUUCGAGGUCAUCCUCAGCUACACAGUUGUUUGGAGGCUAGCCUUGGCCACGUAGGAUCCUGUCUCAAGGGAACAAACAACAACAGAGAAAGAAGAAAUAGGUGGCCUCCCUUGCAGCUAGAUGUGACCCAGCUUAAGAAGACAGGGAUCCAGUAUCAUCUAUCCUUGUAGUCUUAUCAAGAGAAGGAAAAACAACACAGUCCGGCCAUCUUUCCUCUCCCUUCCUGUCUGCAGAGGAGGCAGCCAUCUUGAAAUCCUAACACAACAGCAAUAAGGGACACUAGCAUCCUCAGAACAGCAACGCCCCUGCGCUCCUGACAGCUGCGCCGAUGCCAGCAUUCACCUACUUCUGGAAUAUCACAGGGAGAUUGGCAAGUCUGUCUAAUGCCAUAGUUGUUUAGUCUAAUUUGUUAUUUGUAACCAAACAGACCCAACUGAUGUAAAAUAAUUUACUGCUUUUUUAUUUGCAAUGAAUAAAUGGGUCAAUGACCCCCCCACACACACACACAUACAAACCCCAGGAACACAAACAUUAUCAUUUCAAAUAUGCUUAUGAUAAAAAUUAGAUGCUUUGAUAUGUCACAGCCCUCAGCUUAGGGCUGGACAUACCUGUUCCAGUCUUGGUCUCUUGGUAUCAAGGAAAGAAGGAAGGAUGGUGGGUGUUGAGUCACACAUCUACUUAGCAGUCAUCUUAGUACAGAGUGACAGUCCGUGGUAAAGUUUAAAAAAGAACUUGAUUUCUUUCUCUCUUGAUCCUUGCAGCAACUUACAAGGUCUCAUUAUAAUUCAGAAAAAUAUACAACCCUUCUCAACCCCUCCCCUUAUUAAAGCUAACAUUACUGCUGAUUUUGUUUUUGUUCUUAUGAUUCCAUACGCCUUCCUAAACAGUUACACACACACACUAAGGAGAUUUUUGUUUUGCAUUCUAAGCAGAUGGUGUGAGGUACAUUGCCCUUCAAUGUACAAUGCCCUUCCUCGUCUAUAUCUGUCUUAGAGCUAUUUCUAUGGUGGUUCAAACAUCUGUCUUUAAGUUCUCAGUGGUUGUUGUGAGGGGGAGUGCUCACUGUCAACUUGACAGGAUCCAGAGUCUCCUGGGGGAUGGGCUUCUGGGAUGCCUGUGGGGAAUUAUCUUGAUUACAUUAAUUGACCUGUCCACUAUGGGCAGCACCAUUCCCAUGGCUGGGACUCUGGACUAUGGGAUGGAGAAAGGGGCUAUGUCAGCACAGUGCAGCAGCACUCUCUGCUUCCUGGGCGUGGAUGUGAUGUGACCAGCUUUUACUUCCUGGCCAUGUUGGGCUACACUGCGAACUCUGAGCGAGAGUAGACCUUUCUUUCCUUAAAGUUUCUUUUUAUGGGAGUAUUUUAUCAUAACAAUAGAAAAUGUGUAACCAAGCUGUGCAGUGAGGAAUGAUUUACUAGGGGUUAAGUAAGUUCAAAGUCAAGAUGGGUCACUUUACAUGAUAAUGGUCUCUCUGUCUCUAGAAGAACCAAGUCAAUCAAAGAAAGAGAAUGACUAUGGUGGCCUUUAAGGACCAUACUUAGCCUGAAAUACUGUUUGUCUUUGGCUCCCUGGGAGAUGGGAAAUUGCAUCUUUACUGUCUUGAGCAUGAGGUUGCUUAGCUACUCAACAGUGGCUGAUCACGCUGUGUUUAAAAAAGUCAGGAUUAAAUCAAUGAUUCCCCGCGGAUGACUGAACCAUGAAAACUCAGGUCUGCAGGAUACUGAUAUUUUUGUGGAUUUCUUCUUGGCAAGUUUGGCUGCAGUCUAGGCAAGACACAUUGCUAGUGGAGAUCGGGGUUGCUGAUGUCUUGGCUUUGAACGAGCAGUCUCUGUGGUAGCAAUGCAUGCCCAGGAGAUAGAGGAAUGUGUGUGGCCCCUCUUCCCCUCCAAGAGGUCCAAUCUAUAUCCUACCCUGGCGGUGCAGCUCACUGAGCACUUCAUAGCAUGCACAAAGUUCCAAGGUUGGUCCCCAACAUUAUAAGAGCAAUCCAACUCAAGAUGGUCAGUCUACUACACAAACAGUGUGGAUGGGUAUAUUACCUGGUAUGGUGGUUUGAAUAUGCUUGGCCCAAGGAGUGGCACUGUUUGGAGGUGUGAUAUUGUUGGAGUAGGUGUGGCCUUGUUGGGAUAGGUGUGGUCUUGUUGGAUCAGGUAUGGCUUUGUUGGAGUAAUUGUGUUACUGUGGGGGUGAGCUAUAAGACCCUCAUCCUCUUCCUUCUCCUGUUUGCCUUCAGAUGAAGAUGUAGAACUCUCAGCUCCUCCUGCACCAUGCCUGCCUGGAUGCUGCCAUGUUCCCACCUUGAUGAUAAUGGACUGAACCUCUGAACCUAUGGGCAAAUGGAGGCUCCGAGCAACAGAACGACGCUCCUUUCCUACGCGGAGAAUGAAGCCUUCCCCCACCCUCCCUCCGGACUGCAGAUUCCCAGUGAGCUAUCUCCAGACUGACUUGGGCUUUCUCUUCGGCUCUCGGUGGACAGGGGACUCCGUGCCUCACUCAUCCUGAGCUUCACGUGUCUGAUAGCGAUUGGGAUCAAGUCGGUCUGAUCACUUAGCUAUGCUGGUCACACCCCGUAUCCCAGAACUGUGUUGAAAAAUGCAAUUUGUAACAUCCCAGGUGGAAAAUUUCUGAUUCUCUCUGACGGAGAAUGCCGAGGAGGAUUGGUCUCUAGUCUAGCGGAAAUAUAAACAUCGGUUCUGAGAAUAAAGGAGACUGGGCUUUUCACUGAAUCUGAUGCUCACCAAUUCUGAUCAACUUUUCAGAUACACGUGCAUCUACGUAUGAGCCUGAGGAGUCAGAGGUAUCGGAUACCUGGAGCUGGAGUUAUAGGCCGUUGUGAGCAGCUGCUGUGAGUGCCUAGAAUUAAACACAAGAACAAAGCAUGCCCAUAGCCAUGGAGCCAUUUCUCCAGUCCUGCCAUUGUGUGUUAUGUUCCAUUAAAAUGAGGUUAAGAAAGCCGGAGUGUCCUGGAGAUGGAUGUAAGUGGAGGGGGUAUGCGAGAAGAGCAGCAAAAGAAGUAAAUGGUUUGUUCUGUGCUGACGUCAUUAACCCCACCCACUCAUCCCCCCCAACCCAGUCAGCAUCAUUAGGAAACAGGCAAGGAAGUCUGUUCUACUCCUGUAGAUUACACACUUAGUAUGAACAUCUAGGUCAGGUUUGGGAGGGGAGUUUAAUGCUGUACGUUGUCUAACAGAUUAGUAAUGUCUCGCUCCAAUCAAUGGGAUGGGAAGCUUUUGAAUCACUGGCUAAAGUGAAAGCGUGCUAUAAUUGAUUAGUGAUGUCUGCCUGGGUAAGCAGCAGCAGGCUUGGAAUUUGCCUGAUCUAAAGACCCUGGCUUUGAAGGACACCAUGGUCUCUCAGCUGUCUUUUGGUUCAUGACAAGUUUGGUUUUUCUUACUUGGUCUCUUUUUAUUUUGAUUUACUUCCUAAAUUGGCCAAAUAUAAUGCUCUACAAGGCAUUGGAAGGGAGCCUGCAUAUACACCACUGUGUCUGCCUUCCAGUUUGCCUUUAGCUGUCUGUGGCAGCAGAACAUAUCAGAACAGCCUCUUACAACACAAAAUGGGAAAAGGGCUGCCAGAGUGCUUCAGGCAAUGGUAUUAGCUAGGAAAAUUGGGUUUUGACGUUUCUGAAGCUCUGGUGUCUCCAAACUGGGACAGGUUCUUCAUUCUCCAGGGUUUUCAUCUCAGGAGUAGCAGCAUCUGCCAUGGGACCUGCCUCUUUUCUCUUCUCCAGCUCCUGUGGUCAAACAGGUGUGGUAAACAGGGCCAACCAGAAGGAUUCAAGCUUUUCUAACUUGUCUUUUACAGUGACAGUCAGGAGGGAACACUGUGAAUCUAGGUGUCAAAAAUCACAAAGACCGUGGAGCAGAAUACAGAAUAUUUAUUUCACACGAUCAUUCUGCCAUUCAUUUAUUUUCAACAAACACUGUCUGAGCAUUUCCUAUAUGUCAGGGUAUUGAGGUUUAUUGAAGACAUAGACAGAAGUAAGGAAGUAAGGAAUUUUACCUGCCUGUUAUGGCUUGGAGCCUAAUAGACAGGUGCGCUCAUAAGUCUAGUGUGGAAUGGCAGCUGUUCAGUCAGAGAAUGCUCAGGGUGCGUGGAAAGAUAAUGAGAAUUAACUACAUAAACCAUGAGGCAGGUGCUAGGUGCAGCUCUUACCCAAUGUCUCCAGUGGGUGGCGCUGUUUAGGGACGUGCAACCACCUCCUUGCUGGAUGAAGUCUCACUAGGAUCAGGCUUUCUGAUUACACACCCUUAGCCACGCCCAGUUUGCUCUCUCCCCUUUGUGAAGAUGUGAGCCCUUAGCUUCCGGUUCCUGCCACCAUGCGGGCCAUGCCUCUCUGCCAUAGUGGACUGCAAUCCCCGUGGGACCAUGAGCCAAAAUAAACUCUUUGUUCAAUCAGUCAA
Non-coding RNA from Rattus norvegicus (Norway rat), 4726 nucleotides. The record is from RefSeq and is a predicted model, not a curated record. Lineage: Eukaryota; Metazoa; Chordata; Mammalia; Rodentia; Muridae.